RNAcentral lists this transfer RNA (68 nucleotides) under Marmota monax (woodchuck). Its description in RNAcentral is "tRNA.Ala". The stretch from base 6 to 63 matches the Rfam family "tRNA", at positions 8 to 63 of the family's 71-position model. From Rfam's summary of the family: Transfer RNA (tRNA) molecules are approximately 80 nucleotides in length. Their secondary structure includes four short double-helical elements and three loops (D, anti-codon, and T loops). Lineage: Eukaryota; Metazoa; Chordata; Mammalia; Rodentia; Sciuridae. The record is from RNAcentral.
GGAUAUAGCUCAGUUGGUAGAGUGCUUGCCUUGCAAGCACAAGGCCCUGAGUUCGAUACCCAGCACCA